ACGCGAAGAACUUACCAACUUUUGACAUGUCCCGUAUGGAUUUCAGAGAUGAGAUCCUUCAGUUCGGCUGGCGGGAACACAGGUGCUGCAUGGCUGUCGUCAGCUCGUGUCGUGAGAUGUUGGGUUAAGUCCCGCAACGAGCGCAACCCUCGGCCUUAGUUGCCAUCAUCUAGUUGGGCACUCUAAGGCGACUGCCGGUGAUAAGCCGGAGGAAGGUGGGGAUGACGUCAAGUCCUCAUGGCCCUUACAGGUUGGGCUACACACGUGCUACAAUGGCGGUGACAGAGGGACGCAAAAGGGCAACCUUUCGCAAAUCUCAAAAAGCCGUCUCAGUUCGGAUUGGGGUCUGCAACUCGACCCCAUGAAGUUGGAAUCGCUAGUAAUCGCAGAUCAGCACGCUGCGGUGAAUACGUUCCCGGGUCUUGUACACACCG
RNAcentral lists this ribosomal RNA (434 nucleotides) under uncultured bacterium. RNAcentral's name for it is "bacterial SSU rRNA". It matches the Rfam family "Bacterial small subunit ribosomal RNA", at positions 959 to 1392 of the family's 1533-position model. The record is from RNAcentral.